Molecule: transfer RNA, 38 nt
Filed under: Skeletonema marinoi
Lineage: Eukaryota; Bacillariophyta; Thalassiosirophyceae; Thalassiosirales; Thalassiosiraceae
Description: partial tRNA
Source: RNAcentral
CAGGUAGCUCAGUCGGUAGAGCAGAGGACUGAAAAUCC